GACGAACGCUGGCGGCGUGCCUAAUACAUGCAAGUCGAACGAACUCUGGUAAUGAUUGGUGCUUGCAUCAUGAAUUGCAUUUGAGUGAGUGGCGAACUGGUGAGUAACACGUGGGAAACCUGCCCAGAAGCGGGGGAUAACACCUGGAAACAGAUGCUAAUACCGCAUAACAACUUGGACCGCAUGGUCCGAGUUUGAAAGAUGGCUUCGGCUAUCACUUUUGGAUGGUCCCGUGGCGUAUUAGCUAGAUGGUGAGGUAACGGCUCACCAUGGCAAUGAUACGUAGCCGACCUGAGAGGGUAAUCGGCCACAUUGGGACUGAGACACGGCCCAAACUCCUACGGGAGGCAGCAGUAGGGAAUCUUCCACAAUGGACGAAAGUCUGAUGGAGCAACGCCGCGUGAGUGAAGAAGGGUUUCGGCUCGUAAAACUCUGUUGUUAAAGAAGAACAUAUCUGAGAGUAACUGUUCAGGUAUUGACGGUAUUUAACCAGAAAGCCACGGCUAACUACGUG
Molecule: ribosomal RNA, 514 nt
Filed under: Lactiplantibacillus plantarum
Lineage: Bacteria; Bacillati; Bacillota; Bacilli; Lactobacillales; Lactobacillaceae
Description: bacterial SSU rRNA
Rfam family: Bacterial small subunit ribosomal RNA
Source: RNAcentral